UUUUUUUUUUUUUUUUUUUAGGGCCGCACCUAGGGCACAUGAAGAUUUCCAGGCUAGUGAACUGUAGCCUCUGGCCUAUGCCACAGCCAAGGCAACACCAGAUCCCAGCCAUGUCUGUGACCUACACCACAGCAAACACGAGAUCCUUAACCCGAGUGAGGCCAGGGACUGAACCUGCGUCCUCAUGGUUACUAGUCAGAUUUGUUUCCUCUGAGCCACAACAGGAACUCUGGGUUGUACUUUUUUUUAAGUCAGCAGUAAUUAACUUGAAUUAGGAGAUAAUAGAUUGGGAUGUUACUGGAGGGAAUAAUAAAUGGAGAGAAAUUCAUUAGCAUCUAACCAAAUCAUAAGGAAGUAUUAUCAUUUGGGCCAGGCAGCCAAGCUAGGAUCAAAAAAAAAAUAUUUCUUUUGCAAACACUGUAAACAGUGAGGUAAUUCUUAGCCAGAGAUCUGACCUGAGAAGACUCAGCAAAAAACACCUGUUAGCAAGAUCAAUCAUGCCCUGAAAUGGAAAAGAUUUUCUAUGUAUUGAUCAUUAAUUAUAAUCCAGUGCCAAGUCAUGGAUUUCAAGGAAUGCAAAAGCAUCGCUGACCUUUCCUGACCUGGCUUUCUUGUUCUAUGUGCCCAACUAUCCUUUACAUCACUCCUGGUUAAUUCAAGGCACUUUCAAUGAGGAUGAUGUCUAAACAUCCUCAGGCCAAGCAGAGGGAGAGAAGACACUAGAGGUUUGAAAGGACAAACUGAUCAGAUGUCAGAGCCAGAAGCAGGUUUAAAGAGGAAUCCUGACCCAUCCCUUCACACCAGUGGGAGGGAGGGGAGUAGCUGUUUGACCCCCUGCUGUCUCAGCAGAGGUCAAAUGUCACCAUUUUCCACUUAGGGAUGUCAAAGAGAUGAACACUCAAGGGUGAAGAAUUACCCUCCGGAUUAAACUAAAAGCCUAGGCUGUGAAACUAAGAAUUUCCGAGGUUUAUAGUGGGAAACAGGGAGUGGUUGGGGGAGGUAAAGGCAGUGGAAUGGGAGUAAAUUGAGUGAAACAAUACAGUAUGGAUCCUGGGAAUUUCCAAAUAAUCUUAGAAUUGCUGCAGGCAAGCAGUGUUCUGGUGUGAUCUGACCUCUCUGGGGUCUGGAUAUCAGGAAGUAGUGCUGGCAGGUACCAAUUUUCAGCUCUAGACAGCGUGGCCCUUUCUCCAGAGGCCCUGGGAAGCUGAGAAAGAGGGUCCCAGGUGGUCUAGUGGCUCAGAUAUCUUAAAGUGGGCUCUUAGAGAUCCUCUAGGCCUAAUGUAUUUUUAACAGAUAAGAAAACCAAAUCCCAAGAGGCGGAAGCAAGUUGCCUGUUAAAGUAUAAUUUUCAAAAAGGGAAAAUCAUGUCUCUCAUACAGAUGUUAAAUGAAUGGUUUCAAAGAUUUUAUUGAGCUCAUUAAUUAAUAAAGAAAUCAGUAAGAUUUAAAACAGGCCCAAAGAACAUUUGAGAAGCUAGGUAUGUAUAGGCACUUUAAUGGCCUGCUGAGCUAUAAGCUAUCCAAAAACUGGUUUAUGUUUAACAGGAUCAUAAACUGUAAACUUUCAAGCUAUUAUUUCCAUGGAAGGAAUUAUUUGUGUCUUUACUGAACAAAAUUUUCCAUAUUAGCCUUUGCCUCAUAGCAAAGUAAAAUCAACCAGUAAAUAGAAAGUCAGGUCUGCAUGGAAAAAACAGCCAUUUCUUUCUUUUGCCCAUUUCCAAGAGUCAGAUACAUUUAAAAAAUUUGUCCAAGAUAACACUGGUAAUUGCUAGCAGAUGUAUGUUUGAAGUCUCAUUAUGCCCAACCAAAUGUUGUCAUCCUUGUCCCACAAUCCAGAAAGACUGAGAUGUACAAGAGCAAAAUUGUGAAUGGAAGAAAGGGUUGAUUAAGGAAGCAGAGUUUUCCCAACUCUGGUCUGCCCAGCCCAUCAGAUCUUAGACAGUAGUGAGCAAUGUCUUGAAAUGAGAUCUUAAUUCCCUGCUCAAGAACUGAACCUGGGCAGCCUUGGUGAAAACCAGAAGUCCUAGACACUAGAUCAGCUAGAGACUAGAGGCUAAAAGCAGAGUUGCCCUUAUUCUUGCCCCCACUGAAAGCAAAAAUGUUUCAAGGAGGCAACACCUAUAAAAACAGGCGCAAAAUUUCUUAUUAGAAGCACAGCACGAAAUGUGGGAGAACACACAGUGAAGUAGUUUGUUUAUUUAUUUGAGAUAGAGGCAAGACAGUAACAUACAUCCAAAAGAAGAGUACGAGCAAGGACAUCCUCCUGAACGAGAAAUGUACCAGAGAGAAAGUUUAAAUCACUUUUAUGGGGCUGUUUUCCCAGGACUUUGUUUUCCUUUAGCCAACUAUAUCUGCUUUUUCCUUACACCCGAUUGGACCCAGGGCCCUCCCCAAUGUGCAUGCACAACUUUCAGCCAAGAUGGAAUUCCAGCACAAGGGCCUAUGGGAAUAUUGACAACAUCUGUUAUAGAAUUGUGCCCCCCACCCUUUUUGACCUUGAGGAGUUUUUCUGCACAUGGGCAGUUGGGGAGGUCUCCUUGAUCUUAUGAGUGAUUGAGGUAGUCAUACUAUCUUUUUACUCCAGCAGAGCUCAGCUCCUACCACUAACUUUCUCCUCAAAGUGUCGAAGAGGAAGAAGGCUCCAUUCAGUCAGCCUGACAAUCCCAGCUGGUCUCAGCCCAGGGGGCCCAGCUACCUCCUUCCUCAUAUCCACUACCUUAAAGUGCAGCUUGUGAAAUGCUGACCUGUGAGGACACCUUGACUGGUUCCUUGUUCCCAUAUUUCCCAAACCCAAGGUAUAAUCUCAACACUCUCUUUCCAUCCAGUGCCCUGCAGGGUUCCUUAAUCACUCUCUCCCACCCACGCACACACACUCAAUUGGGCUCCUCUUCUGCGUAUUCUCUAUGGAAGCCUUCCUUACAUGUGGUUUAGUAAGGAUCAAUGACAUCUUUGUGGAUAUGUGAACUAAAGGGAUUUUUUAGACUGAAUGUGCUUGGUUGGCAUAGAUAUCUGUUGAAUUCUUUCCAUGUCUUAAAUUCAAGGAUUCUAUAAUAGUUUAUUUCCCAAGAUGAGGGUGAGAACUUGACUAUAGAACCGAGAAAGCCUCAGGUGGAUUUGCAAAGCUGGCAUUGAUUUUUUUUGGCUUUAGAAAAACUCUAAUUUCUUGGCUCUUCAUUAGAGCAAAUACUAAUGUCCUUCUUUCUGGGAGGAUAAGUGAGUUACUAUUUGCCAAGAUAUUUGGGAGGCUGAGACAAGUAACACUGAGCUGAAUACCAACAAUGACAGAAUGACAACAAUGCAGAUGCCUUAUUUGCACAAACACCCAUCCUUUUGUUCUUGCCACAUCUUUGUGGGUUGCAGAGCUUGGAAUAAUUUCAUUGCCAGAGUUUGUCAGACUUGCCAGUAUCACUCUAAGACUGCCUUUUUCAAAAUCACUUUGUUUGGCUGAAAUGGAGUUCAGGUAGAAAAGGAAUUGGGGUAGUGCAGGGGCAGCUAUUAACCAUUCAAAAAAUGAAUCAUCUACCUCCAGGACCUGACUUUGAAACUUGCUUUUGCAUUCUUUUUAUCCUCUACAUAAAAAGAAAAAGAGAAAAUUUCUAAGAAGGAUGAUUUUUUUAUGGCUAGUGUUAAAGAGAGAAAGAGAGACCAUGAGCCUAGAAUGGAGUCAUCUGUGCUAAGCUCUACAUCAUGAAACCAAGACUUAAUGCCUAACUUAAUUUCCCUUUCAGCCUCUCCCACAAAUGGAAUCUUAAACAGGUCAGUAUGGAAUCACCUUAUCAGCACUAGUGAAGUAAUCCCCCUGAGAGACCCUGCCCUGCUUUCCCCUAAAGGAAGGGGACUUUGCCACAACCACUCUAUUCUCUGCUAGUCUAACUUCCAUGUCAUGCUCCCUUCUGUCUUUGAAAGCCUUUGAUUUUGUACGGGUCUUCAGAGUUCCUUUCUAAUUGCCAGAUGGAAUCAGUGCAAUGUAUGAAUCACUAAAUAAAGCCAAUAAGAUCUUUAA
This 4002-nucleotide long non-coding RNA is filed under the name Sus scrofa (pig). RNAcentral's name for it is "lncRNA (ENSSSCG00000052602.1)". The record is from RNAcentral. Lineage: Eukaryota; Metazoa; Chordata; Mammalia; Artiodactyla; Suidae.